Long non-coding RNA from Daphnia magna, 1105 nucleotides. RefSeq lists it as uncharacterized. The transcript has 3 exons. NCBI's taxonomy places the organism in Eukaryota, Metazoa, Arthropoda, Branchiopoda, Diplostraca, Daphniidae. The record is from RefSeq and is a predicted model, not a curated record.
CUUCUCUUUUGUUUGACAAAUCAAGUCGUGCGGAUAAGUCUCUUCUCUCUUUCACCCCAUUCGGCCGCUCAUUUUGUUUUUUUCUUUCUUCCUGAUACAACCCAUAUAUAUAUAGUCUCCUUCCUUUCCGGCUGUAUCUUUUUGCUCCUUCAACUAUAUACAAGUCCGGCUUCCGAGUAUGCAGACCUGCGUGUAUGGAUGUCGCCGUUUUUGUCUCUUUUCUUGAUCAUUUUGACCGAGAGAUCCAGACUGAGAUAACCUUUAACAGCACCAGCGCCACUUUCCCAUAGCCCCCCCUUAAAAGUAGACUAUACGGAUGGAAGAAGGUCAACGAAGCUCAUUGUCACUAUUUCGCUGUCGGAUGGAAGCGAUACCGAUCCGAAACCUGUGGAUUGUAUUAUCGAAACGGACCAUCUUUCGGCCGGUCAAUACUCACACGUACUGUACCCCCACUACGCGAUAUAUAUCGAAGAAGCCUUCGUUAUAGCUGCGCAAUGAUUUCCCAUGUCAUUCCGAACGUGCUGGCUGGUUAGCGGGAAUGAUUUCCGUCAUUGGCUUUAUGGUAUAAAAGCUCCAAUAGCGGUGGUCAUAAUAACAUACAAUUUUAGCUCAUCAUCGUAUGUUUAACAUAAGGCAAAUUAUCCCUGGACAGAGGCAUCGAUGCUUAUCGAAAAGAAAAAAAGAAGUGGCACACGUGUGCAGGUUUUCUCCUGGACCAAUUGCUCGCUUCCGUCAAGCAAUUCCUCACUCCGUUCUUAGUGUUCAUUAAGCAUGCAACUUCGAUCGGCCUAUACAGCCAAUAAGAGAACAUUUUAAACGAGGAUUGGUCUUAUAGUUUUUGAACUAAAUGCAAAAGACAAGUUGGUGCACUAGCAGCACUUUGUUUUCGUUUAUUUAAAAAACGGCUGGUUUAACAAGAAAACCAACAACUUAAACGAAAUCAGCGUUUAAUUUUGAUUAUGCCGUGUGAUUUUUGUCGAAUUCUAAGAGAUGCCGUUUUUUGCAGAUUUUGACAAAAGUGGGAAGGCUAUACCCUUCCCACUUUUUCAUUUUUGGCCAAAUUUCAAAUUUUGCUCAAAAUACAUUAUUUCGAUUCGGAAUUAAA